GGAGUAGCAAUACUCCGGAAGACCUAGUGGCGAACGGGUGCGUAACACGUGAGGAACCUACCCCGGUCUCUGGGAUAACAGUUGGAAACGACUGCUAAUACCGGAUGCCGUCGGAGCGUCGCAUGGCGCACUGACGAAAGGGUUACCGGAUCGGGAGGGUCUCGCGGCCUAUCAGCUUGUUGGUGGGGUAAUGGCCUACCAAGGCAUCGACGGGUAGCUGGUCUGAGAGGAUGAUCAGCCACACUGGGACUGAGACACGGCCCAGACUCCUACGGGAGGCAGCAGUGGGGAAUCUUGCGCAAUGGGCGAAAGCCUGACGCAGCAACGCCGCGUGCGGGAAGAAGGCUCUCGGGUUGUAAACCGCUUUCAGCAGGAACGAAAAUGACGGUACUUGCAGAAGAAGGUGCGGCCAACUACGUGCCAGCAGCCGCGGUGACACGUAGGCACCAAGCGUUGUCCGGAUUUAUUGGGCGUAAAGAGCUCGUAGGCGGUUCGGUAAGUCGGGUGUGAAAACUUUGGGCUCAACCCAAAGCCUGCACCCGAUACUGCUGUGACUAGAGUUCGGUAGGGGAGUGGGGAAUUCCUAGUGUAGCGGUGAAAUGCGCAGAUAUUAGGAGGAACACCGGUGGCGAAGGCGCCACUCUGGGCCGAAACUGACGCUGAGAAGCGAAAGCGUGGGUAGCAAACAGGAUUAGAUACCCUGGUAGUCCACGCCGUAAACGUUGGGCACUAGGUGUGGGUUUCAACCAACGAGAUCCGCGCCGUCGCUAACGCAUUAAGU
This 781-nucleotide ribosomal RNA is filed under the name uncultured Actinomycetes bacterium. Its description in RNAcentral is "bacterial SSU rRNA". It matches the Rfam family "Bacterial small subunit ribosomal RNA", at positions 73 to 865 of the family's 1533-position model. The record is from RNAcentral. Lineage: Bacteria; Bacillati; Actinomycetota; Actinomycetes.